CGACGUCGUCCAGAACGAGUUUCGGAUCCGUGGACUCACGGACGAACGGCUCGGCGGCACGCUAACACAUGCAAGUCGAACGGAGUGAAGAUGCUCGCAUCUGAACUUAGUGGCGGACGGGUGAGUAACACGUGAGCAACCUGCCUUUCAGAGGGGGAUAACGUUUGGAAACGAACGCUAAUACCGCAUAAAUAUCGGAGUCGCAUGGCACUGAUAGUCAAAGGAGUAAUCCGCUGAAAGAUGGGCUCGCGUCCGAUUAGGCAGUUGGCGGGGUAACGGCCCACCAAACCGACAAUCGGUAGCCGGACUGAGAGGUUGAACGGCCACAUUGGGACUGAGACACGGCCCAGACUCCUACGGGAGGCAGCAUGGGGGAUAUUGCACAAUGGGGGAAACCCUGAUGCAGCGAUGCCGCGUGAAUGAAGACGGCCUUCGGGUUGUAAAGUUCUGUCGCAGGGGACGAAAAUGACGGUACCCUGCAAGAAAGCUCCGGCUAACUACGUG
RNAcentral lists this ribosomal RNA (504 nucleotides) under uncultured Oscillospiraceae bacterium. RNAcentral describes it as "bacterial SSU rRNA". It matches the Rfam family "Bacterial small subunit ribosomal RNA", at positions 1 to 507 of the family's 1533-position model. The record is from RNAcentral. Lineage: Bacteria; Bacillati; Bacillota; Clostridia; Eubacteriales; Oscillospiraceae.